CAGUCGCCGCGGUAAUACGUAGGGUGCGAGCGUUAAUCGGAAUUACUGGGCGUAAAGCGUGCGCAGGCGGUUCGUUAAGACAGAUGUGAAAUCCCCGGGCUUAACCUGGGAACUGCAUUUGUGACUGGCGAGCUAGAGUAUGGCAGAGGGGGGUAGAAUUCCACGUGUAGCAGUGAAAUGCGUAGAGAUGUGGAGGAAUACCGAUGGCGAAGGCAGCCCCCUGGGCCAAUACUGACGCUCAUGCACGAAAGCGUGGGGAGCAAACAGGAUUAGAUACCCCCGUAGUCCCUGUCUCUUAUAC
RNAcentral lists this ribosomal RNA (301 nucleotides) under uncultured bacterium. RNAcentral describes it as "partial 16S ribosomal RNA". It matches the Rfam family "Bacterial small subunit ribosomal RNA", at positions 509 to 807 of the family's 1533-position model. The record is from RNAcentral.